Molecule: long non-coding RNA, 368 nt
Filed under: Homo sapiens (human)
Lineage: Eukaryota; Metazoa; Chordata; Mammalia; Primates; Hominidae
Description: non-protein coding lnc-CCDC140-1:14
Source: RNAcentral
GCCCCGCCUCCGGGGGUUCCCCCGCCGCCGUAGUGGUUGACGAAGAUGAGGCCGGUGAAGAGCAGCACCACCAUGGAGAGGAAGGAGAAGACCACGCACACGCAGCCAGCGUUUCUCUGCAGAAGACAGCAAGAUGCCCCAGGGAAUGUUUGUGAAAAAGGAUGACUGGAUGGGAAGCAAGCUGAAGAAAAAGAAGGAAAGAAAGAGAGAAAUCAGUAAAUCACCACACAAGAGGUGGAGAAGAGGACUUAUAAAUAUUGUUUCUAUGACAUUUGAAAAUAAAUGUUUUACUCCAUGCUAAUAGUGAAUGUGAUGUCUUCAGUUUGAAGGGCUUUAAGUGAAGCUCAUUAAAACCCACUAUUUUCCAU